CUGAGUUUGAGAUCUUUUUGAUUUCAUCUCCCACCCUUUGUUUACAAGACCUGUUGCUUCGGCGAGAUUGAUGAUUUCAUAUCAUCGGUUGAUUGAUUUCAAUGAACUUUGCUUGCCGAAGUUUUUUACAACUCUUUUUUAUGAUAUUCGAGUUUUUAAAACAAAAAAAAAUUA
RNAcentral lists this unclassified non-coding RNA (174 nucleotides) under uncultured fungus. RNAcentral's name for it is "sequence contains ITS1, 5.8S rRNA gene". Lineage: Eukaryota; Fungi. The record is from RNAcentral.